UGCUUGCGGCUGCUAUACAUGCAGUCGGACGGGAUCCGUAUGGUAGCUUGCUACCAAUGGUGAGAGUGGCGCACGGGUGCGUAACGCGUGAGCAACCUACCUCUAUCAGGGGGAUAGCCUCUCGAAAGAGAGAUUAACACCGCAUAACAUCAACAGUUCGCAUGUUCGGUUGAUUAAAUAUUUAUAGGAUAGAGAUGGGCUCGCGUGACAUUAGCUAGUUGGUAGGGUAACGGCUUACCAAGGCGACGAUGUCUAGGGGCUCUGAGAGGAGAAUCCCCCACACUGGUACUGAGACACGGACCAGACUCCUACGGGAGGCAGCAGUAAGGAAUAUUGGUCAAUGGGCGGAAGCCUGAACCAGCCAUGCCGCGUGCAGGAUGACUGCCCUAUGGGUUGUAAACUGCUUUUGUCCAGGAAUAACCCCAGAUACGUGUAUCUGGCUGAAUGUACUGGAAGAAUAAGGAUCGGCUAACUCCGUGCCAGCAGCCGCGGUAAUACGGAGGAUCCGAGCGUUAUCCGGAUUUAUUGGGUUUAAAGGGUGCGUAGGCGGCCUAUUAAGUCAGGGGUGAAAUACGGUGGCUCAACCAUCGCAGUGCCUUUGAUACUGAUGGGCUUGAAUCCAUUUGAAGUGGGCGGAAUAAGACAAGUAGCGGUGAAAUGCAUAGAUAUGUCUUAGAACUCCGAUUGCGAAGGCAGCUCACUAAGCUGGUAUUGACGCUGAUGCACGAAAGCGUGGGGAUCGAACAGGAUUAGAUACCCUGGUAGUCCACGCCCUAAACGAUGAUAACUCGAUGUUGGCGAUAGACAGCCAGCGUCCCAGCGAAAGCGUUAAGUUAUCCACCUGGGGAGUACGCCCGCAAGGGUGAAACUCAAGGAAUUGACGGGGGCCCGCACAAGCGGAGGAGCAUGUGGUUUAAUUCGAUGAUACGCGAGGAACCUUACCCGGGCUUGAAAGUUA
This 958-nucleotide ribosomal RNA is filed under the name Sphingobacterium sp. RNAcentral describes it as "bacterial SSU rRNA". It matches the Rfam family "Bacterial small subunit ribosomal RNA", at positions 34 to 990 of the family's 1533-position model. The record is from RNAcentral. Lineage: Bacteria; Pseudomonadati; Bacteroidota; Sphingobacteriia; Sphingobacteriales; Sphingobacteriaceae.